RNAcentral lists this ribosomal RNA (253 nucleotides) under uncultured bacterium. RNAcentral's name for it is "partial 16S ribosomal RNA". It matches the Rfam family "Bacterial small subunit ribosomal RNA", at positions 524 to 776 of the family's 1533-position model. The record is from RNAcentral.
UACGUAGGGUGCAAGCGUUAAUCGGAAUUACUGGGCGUAAAGCGCACGUAGGCGGCUUUGUAAGUUAGAGGUGAAAGCCCGGGGCUCAACUCCGGAACUGCCUUUAAGACUGCAUCGCUAGAAUUGUGGAGAGGUAAGUGGAAUUCCGAGUGUAGAGGUGAAAUUCGUAGAUAUUCGGAAGAACACCAGUGGCGAAGGCGACUUACUGGACACAUAUUGACGCUGAGGUGCGAAAGCGUGGGGAGCAAACAGG